This is a long non-coding RNA of Bombus impatiens (common eastern bumble bee), 410 nucleotides long. RefSeq lists it as uncharacterized. The transcript has 2 exons. NCBI's taxonomy places the organism in Eukaryota, Metazoa, Arthropoda, Insecta, Hymenoptera, Apidae. The record is from RefSeq and is a predicted model, not a curated record.
AGUUUGAUAGGAUUGUGACCAUAAAUUCUGAGAAUAAUUUUCUGUUUGUGUAGAAGGAAAUCGUCUAUCUCCUCGUGCAUAAAAUCCUUUCCUUUGAUUCUGCAUACUUCUAUUCCACGGAUGAUUGGUUUGCCAUCCAGUAUUGUUCAUAAUAAGCCCGUUCUUCCUCAUCAUCUGAAAAUUCUGGAGGAUCAUCCGCAUUUGCAUCAAUACCUCUGAUUCUGUAAUAAUCAUAAAUUGCUUACUAUAUGUUUAAUUUCUUAUAAAUUAAUGUACUAAAUAUAAAUAAGAAUGGUAUGUAUAAUUAUAUACAUAUUUAAAUAUAUAAACUCACUUUAAUAAUUCAUGUAGAAAUACUAAAGAAGUAUAUUCUGUAUUUGGACAGUAAUAAACAGUCAUUCCUGCUGUAA